ACGCACGCUGGCGGCGUGCUUAACACAUGCAAGUCGAACGGAAAGGCCCUGCUUUUGUGGGGUGCUCGAGUGGCGAACGGGAGAGUAACACGUGAGUAACCUGCCCUUGACUUUGGGAUAACUUCAGGAAACUGGGGCUAAUACCGGAUAGGAGCUCCUGCUGCAUGGUGGGGGUUGGAAAGUUUCGGCGGUUGGGGAUGGACUCGCGGCUUAUCAGCUUGUUGGUGGGGUAGUGGCUUACCAAGGCUUUGACGGGUAGCCGGCCUGAGAGGGUGACCGGCCACAUUGGGACUGAGAUACGGCCCAGACUACUACGGGAGGCAGCAGUGGGGAAUAUUGCACAAUGGGCGGAAGCCUGAUGCAGCAACGCCGCGUGCGGGAUGACGGCCUUCGGGUUGUAAACCGCUUUCGCCUGUGACGAAGCGUGAGUGAGGGUAAUGGGUAAAGAAGCACCGGCUAACUACGUG
RNAcentral lists this ribosomal RNA (467 nucleotides) under uncultured bacterium. Its description in RNAcentral is "partial 16S ribosomal RNA". It matches the Rfam family "Bacterial small subunit ribosomal RNA", at positions 29 to 507 of the family's 1533-position model. The record is from RNAcentral.